CCAACAGGGAUUGCCUUAGUAACGGCGAGUGAAGCGGCAAAAGCUCAAAUUUGAAAUCUAACGCCUCUGGUGUUCGAGUUGUAAUUUGGAGAGGCAUCUUCCGGAGUGGCCCAGCCUAUGCACCUUGGAACAGGACGUCAUAGAGGGUGAGAAUCCCGUUCUUGGCUGGAUGUUCACUCCCGUAUGUAGUGUCUUCUACGAGUCGAGUUGUUUGGGAAUGCAGCUCAAAAUGGGUGGUAAAUUUCAUCUAAAGCUAAAUAUUGGCGAGAGACCGAUAGCGCACAAGUAGAGUGAUCGAAAGAUGAAAAGCACUUUGAAAAUAGAGUCAAACAGUACGUGAAAUUGUUGAAAGGGAAGCGCUUGAGAUCAGAGUCAGCCUUUGGCAAACAACUGUCCUUUUGGGCGGUGCACUUGUCAUUGGUUGGGCCAGCAUCGGUUGGGACGGUGGGAUAAAGGCUUGGGAAAUGUGACUCCUUUAUGGAGUGUUAUAGUCCCAGGUGGCAU
This 504-nucleotide ribosomal RNA is filed under the name Tuber rapaeodorum. RNAcentral's name for it is "eukaryotic LSU rRNA". It matches the Rfam family "Eukaryotic large subunit ribosomal RNA", at positions 65 to 573 of the family's 3401-position model. The record is from RNAcentral. Lineage: Eukaryota; Fungi; Ascomycota; Pezizomycetes; Pezizales; Tuberaceae.